AGUCUGGUGCCAGCAGCUGCGGUAAUACCAGCUCCAAUAGCGUAUAUUAAAGUUGUUGCAGUUAAAAAGCUCGUAGUUGGACUUGUGUGCGCUGUCCGCGGGUGGCCUGCGCCCAAAAGGGCGUUUCGGUUCGGCCCCGGUGGCGCCUUGAAAUCUGCAGCUGGGGGGACGUUGGCCUUAACUGGUCGGCGACCGCACGCCGGCUGCUCGGUUACUGUGAGAAAAUUAGAGUGUUCAAGGCAGGCAUUGGGUGCAAUUGAAUACAUUAGCAUGGAAUAAUAAAAUAUGGCUCCUGCCGUAUUUUGUUGGUUUUGACUGGUGGGAGUAAUGAUUGAUAGGGACGGUUGGGGGUGCUAGUAUUGAGCGGCCAGAGGUGAAAUUCAUGGAUUCGCUCAAGACUAACUUAUGCGAAAGCAUUCACCAAGGACGUCCUCUUUAAUCAAGAACGAAAGUUGGGGGAUCGAAGACGAUCAGAUACCGUCGUAGUCUCAACCAUAAACUAUGUCGACUUGGGAUCGGCGGUGGUUUUUUCAUUAAGACACUGUCGGGACCACGGGAGAAAUCAAAGUGUCUGGACUCUGGGGGAAGUAUGGUCGCAAGGCUGAAACUUGAAGGAAUUGACGGAAGGGCACCACCAGGAGUGGAGCCUGCGGCUUAAUUUGACCCAACACGGGGAAACUUACCAGGUCCAGAGAUGUAGAGGGUUGACAGAUUGAAGCUCUUUCUUGAUCACUUCGGUGGUGGUGCAUGGCCGUUCUUAGUUGGUGGAGUGAUUUGUCUGGUUAAUUCCGUUAACGAACGAGACCUCAGCCUGCUAGUGUAGUCGGCUGGAUUGCCUUUGGCGAUCCGUGAUUUCGACUUCUUAGAGGGACAAUCGACGCGCAGUCGAUGGAAGUUUGAGGCAAUAACAGGUCUGUGAUGCCCUUAGAUGUUCUGGGCCGCACGCGCGCUACACUGCUGGGCUCAGCGAGUUUUACUUGGCCGAGAGGCCCGGUUAAUCUUGUGAAAUCCCAGCGUGCUUGGGCUCGCCUCCUGCAACUGGAGGCGCCAACGAGGAAUUCCUAGUAGACGCAGGUCAUCAACCUGCAUCGAUUACGUCCCUGCCCUUUGUACACACCGCCCGUCGUUCCAUAAGAGUGAGGCAUCCGGUGAAUUCUCGGGAGAGCCUGGGCGUGGCCAGCAAUGGUCUGCUCGGGUUUGAACUUGCAUAAACUUGGUGCCUAUGAUUAGGG
This 1232-nucleotide ribosomal RNA is filed under the name metagenome. RNAcentral's name for it is "SSU rRNA". It matches the Rfam family "Eukaryotic small subunit ribosomal RNA", at positions 558 to 1783 of the family's 1831-position model. The record is from RNAcentral.